AUUGAACGCUGGCGGCAUGCCUUACGCAUGCAAGUCGAACGGCAGCGGACCUUCGGGUGCCGGCGAGUGGCGAACGGGUGAGUAAUAUAUCGGAACGUACCUUUCAGUGGGGGAUAACGUAGCGAAAGUUAACGCUAAUACCGCAUAUUCUGUGAGCAGGAAAGCAGGGGAGUCGCAAGACCUUGCGCUGAUUGAGCGGCCGAUAUCAGAUUAGCUAGUUGGUGAGGUAAAGGACUCACCAAGGCGACGAUCUGUAGCGGGUCUGAGAGGAUGAUCCGCCACACUGGAACUGAGACACGGUCCAGACUCCUACGGGAGGCAGCAGU
This 326-nucleotide ribosomal RNA is filed under the name uncultured bacterium. RNAcentral describes it as "bacterial SSU rRNA". It matches the Rfam family "Bacterial small subunit ribosomal RNA", at positions 30 to 355 of the family's 1533-position model. The record is from RNAcentral.